RNAcentral lists this ribosomal RNA (253 nucleotides) under uncultured bacterium. Its description in RNAcentral is "partial 16S ribosomal RNA". It matches the Rfam family "Bacterial small subunit ribosomal RNA", at positions 524 to 776 of the family's 1533-position model. The record is from RNAcentral.
UACAGAGGUUUCAAGCGUUGUUCGGAUUCAUUGGGCGUAAAGGGUGCGUAGGCGGCGCGGUAAGUCGGGCGUGAAAUCUCGGGGCUUAACUCCGAAACUGCAUUCGAUACUGCCGUGCUUGAGGACUGGAGAGGAGACUGGAAUUUACGGUGUAGCGGUGAAAUGCGUAGAUAUCGUAAGGAAGACCAGUGGCGAAGGCGGGUCUCUGGCCCGGUACUGACGCUGAGGUGCGAAAGCGUGGGGAGCAAACAGG